CAGGAAAUAGGCAAAUACCCAUGCACGCAUGGUAACACACACAAAAUCUGAAUUCCUAGCUUCUUUUUGGCAAAGUAAUUUCCUGGAUUCCGGUCAUUACAUCCGAGGUUAAUCCAUAAAAGUCAAAAUAUAUUAUGUCUACAUAUCCUAAUAUCAAAUAACUUGUAAUUACGCGCAAAAUUUAUCGUGAACUUUGGAGUCAAUUUAGAUUUUAUAUUCAUUGACGUAGGCGUACGAAACAGGAGAGUAUUCGAAGAAUACUCGGGCAGUUUUAUCAGAAAAUAGGUUAAAUUCAGGUUAUUUCAUCAGCUACAAUCCUCCAUAAAAAUUCGGGCAAACUUCCAACUCCCCCCCCCCCCGGAAAGCAUUAGGCGCGUGUACGCCAAUUUUCAUUGAAGUAUUACAGUGAUUCACGAAUAGCCCGCAUUUAUGAAGAAAAAAUCAAACGAGGAAUGAUUGUAUAAUUUAUAGUUGAGAAAU
Paramuricea clavata is the source of this 480-nucleotide non-coding RNA. NCBI's taxonomy places the organism in Eukaryota, Metazoa, Cnidaria, Anthozoa, Malacalcyonacea, Plexauridae. The record is from the annotation of a GenBank genome assembly.